AACGAACGCUGGCGGCAGGCCUAACACAUGCAAGUCGAGCGAGCAUUUCGGUGCUAGCGGCGGACGGGUGAGUAACGCGUGGGAACGUGCCCUUUUCUGCGGAAUAGUCCUGGGAAACUGGGGGUAAUACCGCAUACGCCCUUUUGGGGAAAGAUUUAUCGGAGAAGGAUCGGCCCGCGUUGGAUUAGGUAGUUGGUGGGGUAAUGGCCCACCAAGCCGACGAUCCAUAGCUGGUUUGAGAGGAUGAUCAGCCACACUGGGACUGAGACACGGCCCAGACUCCUACGGGAGGCAGCAGUGGGGAAUCUUAAACAAGGGGGGCAACCCUGAUCUAGCCAUGCCGGGUGAGUGAUGAAGGCCUUAGGGUUGUAAAGCUCUUUCAGCUGGGAAGAUAAUGACGGUACCAGCAAAAGAAGCCCCGGCUAACCCCGU
RNAcentral lists this ribosomal RNA (432 nucleotides) under uncultured bacterium. Its description in RNAcentral is "partial 16S ribosomal RNA". It matches the Rfam family "Bacterial small subunit ribosomal RNA", at positions 29 to 506 of the family's 1533-position model. The record is from RNAcentral.